GUGAUUGCUUCGGCAGCACAUAUUCUAAAAUUGGAACGAUACAGAGAAGAUUAGCAUGGCCCCUGCGCAAGAAUUAAAAAAACUGGGCUAGAAAGCUGGUACAGGGUG
Small nuclear RNA from Suncus etruscus (white-toothed pygmy shrew), 108 nucleotides. The record is from RefSeq and is a predicted model, not a curated record. NCBI's taxonomy places the organism in Eukaryota, Metazoa, Chordata, Mammalia, Eulipotyphla, Soricidae.